GUUUGGCUAGUGAAGCUGUAGGCCGCG
This 27-nucleotide non-coding RNA is filed under the name Cricetulus griseus (Chinese hamster). Lineage: Eukaryota; Metazoa; Chordata; Mammalia; Rodentia; Cricetidae. The record is from RNAcentral.